AGUGAAUGCUGGCGGUAGGCCUAACACAUGCAAGUCGAACGGCAGCACAGUAAGAGCUUGCUCUUACGGGUGGCGAGUGGCGGACGGGUGAGGAAUACAUCGGAAUCUACUUUUUCGUGGGGGAUAACGUAGGGAAACUUACGCUAAUACCGCAUACGACCUACGGGUGAAAGCAGGGGAUCUUCGGACCUUGCGCGAUUGAAUGAGCCGAUGUCGGAUUAGCUAGUUGGCGGGGUAAAGGCCCACCAAGGCGACGAUCCGUAGCUGGUCUGAGAGGAUGAUCAGCCACACUGGAACUGAGACACGGUCCAGACUCCUACGGGAGGCAGUAGUGGGGAAUAUUGGACAAUGGGCGCAAGCCUGAUCCAGCCAUACCGCGUGGGUGAAGAAGGCCUUCGGGUUGUAAAGCCCUUUUGGUGGGAAAGAAAAGCAGUAGGUUAAUACCCCGCUGUUCUGACGGUACCCAAAGAAUAAGCACCGGCUAACUUCGUG
Molecule: ribosomal RNA, 492 nt
Filed under: uncultured bacterium
Lineage: Bacteria
Description: partial 16S ribosomal RNA
Rfam family: Bacterial small subunit ribosomal RNA
Source: RNAcentral